Molecule: long non-coding RNA, 3107 nt
Organism: Musa acuminata AAA Group (dessert banana)
Lineage: Eukaryota; Viridiplantae; Streptophyta; Magnoliopsida; Zingiberales; Musaceae
Exons: 2
Source: RefSeq, a predicted model, not a curated record
GAAGAAAUCAAAACACUUGGCACCGCGAACCGGACCCGAUCCGGCGGUUGGUGAAGCGGGUGCGUCCGGAAGAGGCUGAAGGUAGCGCCGACGACAUGGAUGCGGCUACCAGCUUGCUAUGUUUGAACUCGGCUUCUUCGGCCUUGGAGCCCGGCCACUGCUUGAUCAAUUCCUCAGCUAGGGCCCUCUGACUCCCUCCUCUUCUCUGCUCGGCUCAUUCAAUUUGAAUCUGUUCGUCGUUGCUCACCAGAUGUUUGAAGAAAAGACGCAACAAGCCUUACACCUGGUUGGUGUCUGGUUUCAAGCAACUGAAGCUGAGUGCUGUGGGUUUAUUCAGGAUACUGAAGUUGCUGGGAGUGGACUUCUAUAGAAUCAGGCAAAGGGAGCUCUGAUUUCAUAUCUGCGGCCAUCGUCAGUGACUCCUCUCAGACAGAAGAAGGACUCAUUGCCAACAUACUUGCACAGGUUGCAAAGGAUCCUCGCCGAAUUUAUCCAAAGCACCGGAUCAUCCAGUGCUUCAACGAGCUUUUCGACGAUGUUCCUCUCUUUCAGAAUCCUGUAACAGUUGUUCUUGCUCUCCAAUGCCAUCAUCGCAAGCGCCUCCCCUGCUUCUACCUUCAAUGCCUUCUGCUGCUGGCUGUAUCCAUCCUUGAAGAAGAUCCACAGCAGCUCCUUAAUCAUCCCCCCUGUGUUGCCAAUCCUCUCCCUUGCCUCCUCGUUCAUUGCAAGGCUCGUUAGGAUCUCAAUUCCUAGCUUCUGAAGCAUUAUGUGGCUCUCCCCGUACUGCAAGAUUUCCCUGAUGUUGCUGCUAGUGAAUACGAUCUCCGAUAUCUCCUGCCGGAGCACCUUCCCGGUUUGCCCUGUCGUGCUUGCAAGCAUCUUCACUACCUGCAGUGACCUCUUCAUUGCCUUGACAUGCGACUCAGUUGUGCUCUCUCUCAUCUUCAGCUUCUCCCCGCCACUGGUGAAGUCUAUGAUCUUAGCUAGUAGUCCUCUGGUAUGGCCAAUCUUUGCACAGUUGUCAUGAUCCUUGGUGAGCUUCUUCAGAAUCAGCAGGCCUAACAGAUUGAACACCGAGAACUCGUGGUUGGUAUUGUCCGCGGCGGCACACAGGCGGCAUACCUCAUCAGGCCUUGAAUUCGAGCUGCUUCCACCUGUGUACAGCAAUGAAGAGGUUGAUUCCAUGGCUCCAGGAAUGCCGGCCACUCGGAGAGCAUUCUGCUUCUUUCCGGCGAGCUUGGAGAUGAUGACCGCAGCUGACCUCCUGAUCUCCUCCUCGGCUGGGUUCUUCCAAUUCAGCAUCUCGAUGAGCCUCUCGAUGACCGGAGUCGACGUGCCAAUCUUGCGCAGGGUGCCGUCGGCAAAGCGGUGGCUGGUGGAGAAUUUGAGCAGGAUGCGGGCUCCGAUAAGCUGCUCGUCGCGGGAACUCGACCCGAGGAGCUCCUCCGCGAAGGUGACGAGGUCCAUUUUAAGCCCGUCGAAGAUGCUCCCCUCGAUGCACUUGGAGUAGGCGUCGUAGAAGAACCUCUUGAUGGACACCAUGCCGGUGGCGCCGAGGUGGCACUCCCUGUUCACCUCCUCAAGCAGCAGGCGGUAGCUCACCUUCCACUCCCAGUAGGCCUUCUCGGCCAGGAACAGGAGCGCCUCCGCGAGCGCCAGGCUGUAGAAGAUGUUGAGCGCCGCCUUGCGGUUCUUCUUGUCGGGGUCGCCCGGAGGCAGCUCGCCGAAGUCCUGCUUCACCAGCCGCAUGAGCGAGAGGGAGAUGCAUGAAGAGGCCGCGAGCAACUGCAGCCAGUAGAGCAGUCGGCUGACGUUCCGGGGGAGGAAAACCCAUCCGGAGAAUGGGAGGAUGGGGACGUCACGGGUGUGCCAUGUCCGUAGCGGCGGCGAAGGAGCGACUUGCGAUCUCAGGUCGUUGAUCAUGUGGACGUUGCUCGGCAUUCUCGUGGUGUGAAUCGAGAAUGGCCGGAAAACGAGCUUCAGUGAUUGGAGGAGGACGCGGGAGCUGGACUUGAGAGCUCGGAAGCUCGACCGGCCGGCCUCGGUGAGGGACCAGGUGGCCUGGUGCUGCCACUCAAGCUCAUGACUCCGGCUGAAGAUGCGGGCGCCUUCAAUGAGGAGGAUGAUGGUGAUGAACCAGAAGUCUUUCCUCUCGAGCGCGAUGGCGAAGCCUCCCAGGAGAACCACGGUGGCCCAUAUGAAGCCUAGCGUUCCGAGGCCACUGGCGGCCUUCUCGAUGACAGCAAGCCGGAGCGCGAAGAGCGUCAGCUUCUUCUCGGGAGCUUCGACAACGCCAUGGAUUCUGCACGGCCCAGCUGAAUCGUCGUCCUGGUCCACGCUCUUCGAAGGGUCAUUCAUCUCUCUCUGGGGUUCGAAGAACGUCGAGCCAUAAUUGUCCACAAGCUUGACGCUCACACUGCCAAUUUGCUCGACGAUCCGCAGUCGAAUACUUGGCUCGCCAUCUCUUGCUGUCUCCAUAGGACGAUGAAGAAGAGCACACUACGAUGCGAUUGUGAUGCUACGGCAGGAGCUGCAAUUGAAGAACAAUUGUCCAGAUGAAAAUUAGUAGGCUUUUAUAGGAAUGAGUCCGUCAGCAUGCUUGGGGGAAUGCUAAGGAGGGCGAAGGGCUGCCAACUUUGCGUGGAAUGUGGCUGGAAAUUGUGCAACUGUUUCUCCAUAAGGCAAGGAGACAAAUGAAAAGAUUGUGUUGUAAGGAUUCUUCGGUUGGGAAGGAUGAGGAAACACCAACAAGUUCAAGGAAGAUCGAGAGAGAACAGGGGAGGAGGAGGAGAUGAACCGCUAAAUGAACUUUGGGGGCAAGUUUUUUUGGCUUACACUGAAAGAGGAAGAGUGAAGCCUGUGGCAUCUAUUCUGCUUCCCUCACCCUCCAAACCUUUAUUUGGAGACUUCACAUUAUUUUUGGAUGAUUGCGAAUCCUUGCAAGUCCUGUUUAACUGUUUACUUUGGAUCUCCUCCUUAUCAGACUUUCCUCAGCUUUAUGUAAUAUUUAGCUUGGCAACAAAAUUUGGACAAGAAGUUUCUAUUCCAUGGAUUUUAUCUUUCUGUAUGAUAAUUUAUCCUGUCAUUGGAUUCCUUAUUUGAUCUUA